RNAcentral lists this ribosomal RNA (691 nucleotides) under Salmonella enterica subsp. enterica serovar Infantis. RNAcentral describes it as "partial 23S ribosomal RNA". It matches the Rfam family "Bacterial large subunit ribosomal RNA", at positions 2112 to 2802 of the family's 2925-position model. The record is from RNAcentral. Lineage: Bacteria; Pseudomonadati; Pseudomonadota; Gammaproteobacteria; Enterobacterales; Enterobacteriaceae.
UGACACUGAACAUUGAGCCUUGAUGUGUAGGAUAGGUGGGAGGCUUUGAAGCGUGGACGCCAGUCUGCGUGGAGCCGACCUUGAAAUACCACCCUUUAAUGUUUGAUGUUCUAACGUGGAUCCGUAAUCCGGGUUGCGGACAGUGUCUGGUGGGUAGUUUGACUGGGGCGGUCUCCUCCUAAAGAGUAACGGAGGAGCACGAAGGUUGGCUAAUCCUGGUCGGACAUCAGGAGGUUAGUGCAAUGGCAUAAGCCAGCUUGACUGCGAGCGUGACGGCGCGAGCAGGUGCGAAAGCAGGUCAUAGUGAUCCGGUGGUUCUGAAUGGAAGGGCCAUCGCUCAACGGAUAAAAGGUACUCCGGGGAUAACAGGCUGAUACCGCCCAAGAGUUCAUAUCGACGGCGGUGUUUGGCACCUCGAUGUCGGCUCAUCACAUCCUGGGGCUGAAGUAGGUCCCAAGGGUAUGGCUGUUCGCCAUUUAAAGUGGUACGCGAGCUGGGUUUAGAACGUCGUGAGACAGUUCGGUCCCUAUCUGCCGUGGGCGCUGGAGAACUGAGGGGGGCUGCUCCUAGUACGAGAGGACCGGAGUGGACGCAUCACUGGUGUUCGGGUUGUCAUGCCAAUGGCACUGCCCGGUAGCUAAAUGCGGAAGAGAUAAGUGCUGAAAGCAUCUAAGCACGAAACUUGCCCCGA